AAUUUUGCGUAGAAUCAAUAUCGUAACCAAUGAGGUCAAUCCGAGGUGCGAUUAUUGCAAGUUGAAAUACUGUAUGUGUUAAGACUUAGUAUAACUCGUACUAGUGUAAUUUCAAAAAAAUACGGAGAUUGAUAAAUAUCA
Nymphalis io (European peacock) is the source of this 141-nucleotide small nuclear RNA. RefSeq annotates it as U4 spliceosomal RNA. The record is from RefSeq and is a predicted model, not a curated record. The transcript has a single exon. Lineage: Eukaryota; Metazoa; Arthropoda; Insecta; Lepidoptera; Nymphalidae.